UACGUAGGGUGCAAGCGUGGUCCGGAAUUAUUGGGCGUAAAGAGCUCGUAGGCGGUUUGUCGCGUCUGCCGUGAAAGUCCGGGGCUCAACUCCGGAUCUGCGGUGGGUACGGGCAGACUAGAGUGAUGUAGGGGAGACUGGAAUUCCUGGUGUAGCGGUGAAAUGCGCAGAUAUCAGGAGGAACACCGAUGGCGAAGGCAGGUCUCUGGGCAUUAACUGACGCUGAGGAGCGAAAGCAUGGGGAGCGAACAGG
This 253-nucleotide ribosomal RNA is filed under the name uncultured bacterium. RNAcentral describes it as "partial 16S ribosomal RNA". It matches the Rfam family "Bacterial small subunit ribosomal RNA", at positions 524 to 776 of the family's 1533-position model. The record is from RNAcentral.